This 207-nucleotide ribosomal RNA is filed under the name uncultured bacterium. Its description in RNAcentral is "partial 16S ribosomal RNA". It matches the Rfam family "Bacterial small subunit ribosomal RNA", at positions 568 to 774 of the family's 1533-position model. The record is from RNAcentral.
UGCGCAGGCGGGACUGCAAGUUGGAUGUGAAAAUCCGAGGCUCAACCUCGGAACUGCAUCCAAAACUGUGGUUCUUGAGUGGAGCAGAGGUAAGCGGAAUUCCGAGUGUAGCGGUGAAAUGCGUAGAUAUUCGGAGGAACACCAGUGGCGAAGGCGGCUUACUGGGCUCUAACUGACGCUGAGGCACGAAAGUGUGGGUAGCAAACA